This 292-nucleotide ribosomal RNA is filed under the name uncultured bacterium. RNAcentral describes it as "partial 16S ribosomal RNA". It matches the Rfam family "Bacterial small subunit ribosomal RNA", at positions 505 to 796 of the family's 1533-position model. The record is from RNAcentral.
GUGCCAGCCGCCGCGGUAAGACGAACCACACGAACGUUAUUCGGAAUUACUGGGCUUAAAGGGUGCGUAGGCUGUGCGGAAAGUUGGGUGUGAAAGCCCCCGGCUCAACCGGGGAAUUGCGCCCAAAACUACCGUGCUGGAGGAAGAUAGAGGUGAGCGGAACUUCGGGUGGAGCGGUGAAAUGCGUUGAUAUCCGAAGGAACACCGGUGGCGAAAGCGGCUCACUGGAUCUUUUCUGACGCUGAUGCACGAAAGCUAGGGGAGCAAACGGGAUUAGAAACCCUUGUAGUCC